This 559-nucleotide ribosomal RNA is filed under the name uncultured bacterium. RNAcentral describes it as "bacterial SSU rRNA". It matches the Rfam family "Bacterial small subunit ribosomal RNA", at positions 119 to 674 of the family's 1533-position model. The record is from RNAcentral.
AGGAAUCUGCCUGGUAGUGGGGGACAACGUUUCGAAAGGAACGCUAAUACCGCAUACGUCCUACGGGAGAAAGCAGGGGACCUUCGGGCCUUGCGCUAUCAGAUGAGCCUAGGUCGGAUUAGCUAGUUGGUGGGGUAAUGGCUCACCAAGGCGACGAUCCGUAACUGGUCUGAGAGGAUGAUCAGUCACACUGGAACUGAGACACGGUCCAGACUCCUACGGGAGGCAGCAGUGGGGAAUAUUGGACAAUGGGCGAAAGCCUGAUCCAGCCAUGCCGCGUGUGUGAAGAAGGUCUUCGGAUUGUAAAGCACUUUAAGUUGGGAGGAAGGGCAUUAACCUAAUACGUUAGUGUUUUGACGUUACCGACAGAAUAAGCACCGGCUAACUCUGUGCCAGCAGCCGCGGUAAUACAGAGGGUGCAAGCGUUAAUCGGAAUUACUGGGCGUAAAGCGCGCGUAGGUGGUUUGUUAAGUUGGAUGUGAAAGCCCCGGGUUCAACCUGGGAACUGCAUCCAAAACUGGCAAGCUAGAGUACGGUAGAGGGUGGUGGAAUUUCCUGU